Molecule: transfer RNA, 101 nt
Organism: Wallemia ichthyophaga EXF-994
Lineage: Eukaryota; Fungi; Basidiomycota; Wallemiomycetes; Wallemiales; Wallemiaceae
Rfam family: tRNA
About the family: Transfer RNA (tRNA) molecules are approximately 80 nucleotides in length. Their secondary structure includes four short double-helical elements and three loops (D, anti-codon, and T loops).
Source: Rfam
GCUUUCGUGGUCUAGUGGUUAUGACAUGUGCUUUACAAACUGUAUUUCAAUAAACAAACUUGGAUCGCACAGGGCCGCCGGUUCGAACCCGGCCGAAAGCU